This 324-nucleotide long non-coding RNA is filed under the name Mytilus galloprovincialis (Mediterranean mussel). Lineage: Eukaryota; Metazoa; Mollusca; Bivalvia; Mytilida; Mytilidae. The record is from RNAcentral.
AUACGAUGGUGAAAAGGCAUUAAAAAUUACGUCACAUUAGAAUAACACAUAAAUGUAAGGGAGCUACCAUUUGAUUUUUAGGGGGGGGGGGGGGGGGGGGGCUAGGAUGAAAUUUGAAAAAAAUAGGCAGGACAGGAGUUUUGAGUAAAAAAAAAGGCAGGAUGAGACACUUGCAAAAAAAAAAAGUCAGGACGACAAUUAAAGUAAAAAAAAGUCAGGAUAAACUAAAAAAAAAAAAAGGCAGGACCGAACAGAGGGAAAAAUAAAAAGGCAGGACAGAGAUUACAGCUAAAAAAAAUGUAGGACAAAAUUUUUCAUCAUUGC